Molecule: long non-coding RNA, 325 nt
Filed under: Elaeis guineensis (African oil palm)
Lineage: Eukaryota; Viridiplantae; Streptophyta; Magnoliopsida; Arecales; Arecaceae
Description: long non-coding RNA (EGUI_LNC005823)
Source: RNAcentral
CGGACUUUGAGCUGGAGUUCUACAUUGCCGACCUCCGCCCCUUUGACCCCUAGAGAGCCUCGUCGGGAGCUCCGUGCCCACCUCACCGCCCUCAAGGUUGAGUUCAUUGACCUCAUCAACUAUGACUUUUCCGACUUUGUCAGCCUCAAUACCGAUCUCAUCAACGUUGACUCUACUAGGUGUGCAUUGGGCAAAGGAUCGUUUUCAUGAAUCUCUUCAGUGAUCCCAUUUAGUCUUAGCCACUCUAGUUCAAGGUCGCCUACUUUCUCCGUCUGAACUUCAAGUCGGAGUUCUAUGUCACCAACCUCUGCUCCUUCAUCCCCCU